RNAcentral lists this ribosomal RNA (435 nucleotides) under uncultured bacterium. RNAcentral's name for it is "partial 16S ribosomal RNA". It matches the Rfam family "Bacterial small subunit ribosomal RNA", at positions 355 to 807 of the family's 1533-position model. The record is from RNAcentral.
UGGGGAAUAUUGGACAAUGGGGGCAACCCUGAUCCAGCAAUGCCGCGUGUGUGAAGAAGGUCUUCGGAUUGUAAAGCACUUUCGACGGGGACGAUGAUGACGGUACCCGUAGAAGAAGCCCCGGCUAACUUCGUGCCAGCAGCCGCGGUAAUACGAAGGGGGCUAGCGUUGCUCGGAAUGACUGGGCGUAAAGGGCGUGUAGGCGGUUUACACAGUCAGAUGUGAAAUCCCCGGGCUUAACCUGGGAGCUGCAUUUGAUACGUGUAGACUAGAGUGUGAGAGAGGGUUGUGGAAUUCCCAGUGUAGAGGUGAAAUUCGUAGAUAUUGGGAAGAACACCGGUGGCGAAGGCGGCAACCUGGCUCAUGACUGACGCUGAGGCGCGAAAGCGUGGGGAGCAAACAGGAUUAGAUACCCUGGUAGUCCACNCUGUAAAA